RNAcentral lists this ribosomal RNA (489 nucleotides) under uncultured bacterium. RNAcentral's name for it is "partial 16S ribosomal RNA". It matches the Rfam family "Bacterial small subunit ribosomal RNA", at positions 30 to 506 of the family's 1533-position model. The record is from RNAcentral.
AUUGAACGCUGGCGGCAGGCCUAACACAUGCAGGUCGAACGGUAACAGGAAGAAGCUUGCUUCAUUGCUGACGAGUGGCGGACGGGUGAGUAAUGUCUGGGAAACUGCCUGAUGGAGGGGGAUAACUACUGGAAACGGUAGCUAAUACCGCAUAACGUCGCAAAACCAAAGAGGGGGACCUUCGGGCCUCUUGCCAUCGGAUGUGCCCAGAUGGGAUUUGCUCGUAGGUGGGGUAACGGCUCACCUCGGCGACGCUCCCUAGCUGGUCUGAGAGGAUGACCAGCAACACUGAAACUGAGAAACGGUCCAGACUCCAACGGGAGGCAGCAGGGGGGAAUAUUGCAAAAUGGGGGCAAGCCUGAUGCAGCCAUGCCGCGUGGAUAAAGAAGGCCUUCGGGUUGUAAAGUACUUUCAGCGGGGAGGAAGGGAGUAAAGUUAAUACCUUUGCUCAUUGACGUUACCCGCAGAAGAAGCACCGGCUAACUCCGU